AGUCUUUUAAAUGGUGACUUGUAUGAAUGAUUGGAUGAAAUAUAUACUGUCUCUUUAUUAUAAAUAGAAUUUAAUAUUUUAAUUAAAAAGUUAAAAUAUUAUUAAAAGACGAGAAGACCCCAUAGAGUUUUAUAUAAUUAGGAUAAUUUAUUAUUACUAUGAAAAUUUAAUAUAAAUUAUUUUAUUAUAUUUUGUUGGGGUGAUAGAAAAAUAAAUAAAACUUUUUUUUAUUAUAUUAACAUAUAUAAGUGAUUAUUUGAUCCAAAAUUUUUGAUUAUAAGAAAAAAUUACCUUGGGGAUAACAGCGUAAUUUUUUUUUUUAGUUCAAAUAAAAAAAAAAGUUUGCGACCUCGAUUUUGGAUUAANAUAAAAUUUAAAUGC
RNAcentral lists this ribosomal RNA (381 nucleotides) under Diatraea crambidoides. Its description in RNAcentral is "partial 16S ribosomal RNA". Lineage: Eukaryota; Metazoa; Arthropoda; Insecta; Lepidoptera; Crambidae. The record is from RNAcentral.